RNAcentral lists this ribosomal RNA (888 nucleotides) under uncultured archaeon. RNAcentral's name for it is "bacterial SSU rRNA". It matches the Rfam family "Archaeal small subunit ribosomal RNA", at positions 35 to 924 of the family's 1478-position model. The record is from RNAcentral.
GGAUUGAUAAUAANCCCUUGNGNGUCUUUGUAGCAAUCCAAGGCAGACNGGNUCAGUAACGNGUAGUCCAUUUUACCCUNUGGACGGGAAUAACCUCGGGAAACUGAGAAUAAUGCCCGAUAGAACAUUAUGCCUGGAAUGGUUUAUGUUUCAAAUGAUUUAUCGCCAUAGGAUGGGACUGCGGCCUAUCAGUUUUGUUGGUGAGGUAAUGGCCCACCAAGACUAUUACAGGUACGGGCUCUGAGAGGAGUAGCCCGGAGAUGGGUACUGAGACACGGACCCAGGCCCUAUGGGGCGCAGCAGGCGAGAAAACUUUGCAAUGUGCGAAAGCACGACAAGGUUAAUCCGAGUGGUUUCUGCUAAGGAAACCUUUUGUCAGUCCUAGAAACACUAACGAAUAAGGGGUGGGCAAGUUCUGGUGUCAGCCGCCACGGUAAAACCAGCACCUCAAGUGGUCAGGAUGAUUAUUGGGCCUAAAGCAUUCGUAGCUCGUUUUGUAAGUUUUCGGUUAAAUCCAUGCGCUUAACGUAUGGGCUGCCGGGAAUACUGCAUAACUAGGAAGUGGGAGAGGUAGACGGUACUCGGGAGGAAGGGGUAAAAUCCUUUGAUCUCUUGAUGACCACCUGUGGCGAAGGCGGUCUACCAGAACACGUUCGACGGUGAGGGAUGAAAGCUGGGGGAGCAAACCGGAUUAGAUACCCGGGUAGUCCCAGCUGUAAACUAUGCAAACUCAGUGAUGCAUUGGCUUAUGGCCAAUGCAGUGCUGCAGGGAAGCCGUUAAGUUUGCCGCCUGGGAAGUACGUACGCAAGUAUGAAACUUAAAGGAAUUGGCGGGGGAGCACCACAAGGGGUGAAGCCUGCGGUUCAAUUGGAGUCAACCGCCGAAAC